GUGGGGAAUAUUGCACAAUGGGCGAAAGCCUGAUGCAGCGACGCCGCGUGAGCGAUGAAGUAUUUCGGUACGUAAAGCUCUAUCAGCAGGGAAGAUAAUGACGGUACCUGACUAAGAAGCACCGGCUAAAUACGUGCCAGCAGCCGCGGUAAUACGUAUGGUGCAAGCGUUAUCCGGAUUUACUGGGUGUAAAGGGAGCGUAGGCGGCGUGGUAAGUCAGAAGUGAAAGCCCGGGGCUCAACCCCGGGACUGCUUUUGAAACUAUCAUGCUAGAGUGUCGGAGAGGUAAGUGGAAUUCCUAGUGUAGCGGUGAAAUGCGUAGAUAUUAGGAGGAACACCAGUGGCGAAGGCGGCUUACUGGACGAUAACUGACGCUGAGGCUCGAAAGCGUGGGGAGCAAACAGGAUUAGAUACCCCGGUAGUCC
Molecule: ribosomal RNA, 425 nt
Filed under: uncultured bacterium
Lineage: Bacteria
Description: partial 16S ribosomal RNA
Rfam family: Bacterial small subunit ribosomal RNA
Source: RNAcentral